This 550-nucleotide long non-coding RNA is filed under the name Pan troglodytes (chimpanzee). RNAcentral describes it as "long non-coding RNA NONPTRT016393". The record is from RNAcentral. Lineage: Eukaryota; Metazoa; Chordata; Mammalia; Primates; Hominidae.
UGGCUGGUCAUGAUUAAUGUACAAUGCACAAGAAGACAUCAAAACAGUUGCACCUACAGGUGGCUGCUGAGUGCCUUUUGAACUUCAGAGGAAGGCUUGUGUGAGCAAGGCAGAGACCUUAUGUUGGAGACGGAAUGCUGCAAAAUGCAUGGAACUGUCCACCACCGCUGUGCUGAAAUCAAGUGGAUCAAGGAGAUGUGGCACGUUGCAUCAUGACCAUCUGCUGCAGAGAUGUCCACGCAGCUGAGUAGGAGUAGGAUUGAACUUUGGCCUCAGGCUGUGAUGCAUGCUGUUGGACUGAUCCCUCCUGCUGCUGCUACUCAGAUCCCCUGGCUGGACUUGCAGCUCCUGGGGGAACACAUGCCUCAUGUCCUGGAAAGAACACAGUUCUGGAGUCAGAGGCCAUCAUUUCAUCUGGGCUAACUGCGUCUUGGUCCCUGACUAAUAUUGAGGCAAUGAAUGCAGAGUAUAGCUCAGCCCCAUCCUGGUUGAGAAAUUUCAAACAUACCAGGAAAGUAAAAUAUACGAGAGCCUUAACAAGGUUGUAAAU